CCCUAAGUCUGGGAUACCAUUUGGAAACAGGUGCUAAUACCGGAUAAUAAAGCAGAUCGCAUGAUCAGCUUUUGAAAGGCGGCGUAAGCUGUCGCUAAGGGAUGGCCCCGCGGUGCAUUAGCUAGUUGGUAAGGUAACGGCUUACCAAGGCGACGAUGCAUAGCCGAGUUGAGAGACUGAUCGGCCACAUUGGGACUGAGACACGGCCCAAACUCCUACGGGAGGCAGCAGUAGGGAAUCUUCCACAAUGGACGCAAGUCUGAUGGAGCAACGCCGCGUGAGUGAAGAAGGUUUUCGGAUCGUAAAGCUCUGUUGUUGGUGAAGAAGGAUAGAGGUAGUAACUGGCCUUUAUUUGACGGUAAUCAACCAGAAAGUCACGGCUAACUACGUGCCAGCAGCCGCGGUAAUACGUAGGUGGCAAGCGUUGUCCGGAUUUAUUGGGCGUAAAGCGAGCGCAGGCGGAAAAAUAAGUCUAAUGUGAAAGCCCUCGGCUUAACCGAGGAACUGCAUCGGAAACUGUUUUUCUUGAGUGCAGAAGAGGAGAGUGGAACUCCAUGUGUAGCGGUGGAAUGCGUAGAUAUAUGGAAGAACACCAGUGGCGAAGGCGGCUCUCUGGUCUGCAACUGACGCUGAGGCUCGAAAGCAUGGGUAGCGAACAGGAUUAGAUACCCUGGUAGUCCAUGCCGUAAACGAUGAGUGCUAAGUGUUGGGAGGUUUCCGCCUCUCAGUGCUGCAGCUAACGCAUUAAGCACUCCGCCUGGGGAGUACGACCGCAAGGUUGAAACUCAAAGGAAUUGACGGGGGCCCGCACAAGCGGUGGAGCAUGUGGUUUAAUUCGACGCAACGCGAAGAACCUUACCAGGUCUUGACAUCUAGUGCAAUCUGUAGAGAUACGGAGUUCCCUUCGGGGACGCUAAGACAGGUGGUGCAUGGCUGUCGUCAGCUCGUGUCGUGAGAUGUUGGGUUAAGUCCCGCAACGAGCGCAACCCUUGUUAUUAGUUGCCAGCAUUAAGUUGGGCACUCUAAUGAGACUGCCGGUGACAAACCGGAGGAAGGUGGGGAUGACGUCAAGUCAUCAUGCCCCUUAUGACCUGGGCUA
Molecule: ribosomal RNA, 1099 nt
Filed under: Lactobacillus amylovorus
Lineage: Bacteria; Bacillati; Bacillota; Bacilli; Lactobacillales; Lactobacillaceae
Description: bacterial SSU rRNA
Rfam family: Bacterial small subunit ribosomal RNA
Source: RNAcentral